UGACCUCAAAUCAGGUAGGACUACCCGCUGAAUCAUAGCAUAUCAAUA
RNAcentral lists this ribosomal RNA (48 nucleotides) under Cerrena unicolor. Its description in RNAcentral is "partial 28S ribosomal RNA". The record is from RNAcentral. Lineage: Eukaryota; Fungi; Basidiomycota; Agaricomycetes; Polyporales; Cerrenaceae.